This is an RNA transcript of Phoenix dactylifera (date palm), 2894 nucleotides long. RefSeq lists it as uncharacterized. Lineage: Eukaryota; Viridiplantae; Streptophyta; Magnoliopsida; Arecales; Arecaceae. The record is from RefSeq and is a predicted model, not a curated record.
GCUUUCUGCGAGAGAGAGAGAGAGAGAGAGAGAGAGAAGGGGGUGGCGAGGGAGGGCGGAGAAAAGGAGAGAGCUUUCUCUAAAAGAGUAGCAGCACUUGCAACAGUAUACACAAGCUUCGUCCUCUUGGUAGGGGACAGCCCAACGGCUAAAAAAGCAAGCAGGAUCCGGAGGCUUUUCUUUCUCUUUAAUUCACAAGAGGAGGGGCGAGAGAGGCUCUCUCAAGCCGCCACACGACAAGAGGUCUUCUGGCCCGUUAGAAUCCCAACCACUGUUCUCCUUCUUGUCGCCUCUUCAGUCCUUCUUCCUGCUGUCUUCUUCGCUCUCAAUUCCCGAAAAAAUCUGAGAUUUUUUUCCCGCAAUAUCUAGCAUUGUAUUUGGAUUCUAAUUGAAUCCAGAUGCUCAUUUACUCGAGAGCUCUGCGGGGUGGUUCUGCUUCGCCUUCGGCUUAGGCUUUGGUUGAUAGAGCUAUAAGAGUACCCAGAUACAAUGAGGAAUUGAAAUGAAUGAACCAAGGCUAACAGUUGGUCCUUCCACCAUGGAUAACAUUGCACCUGACUGUCCUUACCCAGGAUGCUUCUUCUGUGUCAUGAAGGAGGGAAAUGCAAACAAACGAAGAACAAGUAUCCUGAAGUUUUUUAGAGAGCUUCCUUCUCAAGAUGAUGAAGGCCAAGUUCUCCCGAUCAGUGGCCUUUGGAACACUGCCAUGGCACAUCCAAAUGAUUCCGAGUUUAUUAACUUGGGAAUAUUUGAAUGCAUGGCUGCAUUGAUAUGGAAGGGCUUAAAGAACAAGCGUUGGCUUACACACGACCAGAACAUAUACAUCCCCUAUUAUGCAGCUCAUAUAAUCGGAUCUUACACCAUGAAUAUGGAAGAGUUUGCAGAAACUGCGGUGCAUGCUGGAGUCAUUCCUCCCUUAGUUGAACUUUUACGAGGUAGGCUGACCUGGGUGGAGCAAAGGGUAGCAGUUAGGGCCCUGGGACACUUGGCUACAUAUCCUAGUACAUUCCCUGCAGUGGCAAGUCACGGAGAAGUCCUUGAGCUUGCCAUUCAGCUGGCAUCAAGUUCUCUAGAGAUUGUCUACUCUCACUUUUACCAGUUUGUGGAUAGGAGACUAAGCUAUCACUGCGAUCUACUUACACGGGGCAUGGGUGGUGUGGAUAUGGAGUCCAGGAAAGCAGAGGAAUGGGCCAGUCAGUUACAGUGCUGGUCUCUUCAGCUCAUUAACUGCUUUGCUUUCAAGCCUGAGUUUCUCCCUGAUAUAUGCAAGCCAGAAUUUUUAAUAAAAUUACCAGGCAUGUGGGGAGGGCUUGUCAAUGAGAACUCCCCAGCAGGUAUUGGUUUACUGCGAACAAUUUGCCAGCAUAAGCUUGGGAGGAGUCCUGUUGCUAACUGUCCUGGUAUCAUUGACGCGCUAUGUAAUAUAGCUCGUUCAUCUGAUGACUGGCAGUACAUGGCUAUUGAUUGUCUUCUUUGGUUACUUCAAGAUCCAAGUGCCUGCCAUAAGGUGAUAGAUAAGGCAGCCCCAGCACUUACAGAUUUAGCAGAAAUUUCAACUCUUGGUGAUCAUAAAAGACUUGGCGACAGUAUUGUUAGUGUUCUUCAAGCAUGUAUACAGUCAAUUGGGACAGCAUGCAGUAGCCAUACGAAAGAACAGAUUGAUGAACUUUUGAGUUCCAGGCAGAGAUUAAAAUGGGAGAAGAAUAUGCCAAAGGAGGAUCUACAUAUAAAGCAGGCAGCAGCACUGGUUGUUAAGCUGGAAGGGAAUUCUUUAUUUUCUUCUGGUAAUAUUGCAGGAGCUGCGUCAAAGUACUCCGAAGCACUGGCAUUGUGCCCCGUGAAGUCAAAAAAAGAGAGAGUUGUGUUGUACAGCAAUAGGGCUCAGUGCUAUCUUCUCUUGCAGCAACCAUUGGCAGCCAUAAGCGAUGCUACACAUGCAUUGUGCCUUCAUAACCCUCCUAAUCAUCAUGCCAAAAGCCUGUGGAGAAGAGCCCAAGCAUAUGAUAUGCUUGGUUUAGCUAAGGAGAGCUUGUUAGAUGCUAUUCUAUUCGUUAAUGAGUGUUCUCAGUCAAAUGAUCCUGACCUGUCCUUGAGGCAGAAUAAAGUUCCUGAUUAUGCUGAAAGGUUAGUGAAGAAGCAGAUGCGUGCUGCAUGGCUAUUCGGAGAAGCAGCUAUAAAGCAUGGGGGAGUUCAUUGUGAUGGUGAUUCUGGAGAUGUAUUUGGCGAACGGGCUGAUGACUCUGAGUGGGAGACAGCCAGUGAAAGUGAUAUUGGAAAUGAUAGAAGAGGAGAAGCAGAUGAUGAUGAGAGUGAAUGGAAAAAUGAUGACAGCCGGAAAAAUAUAUAUCGCAAGGCUUCUACAAAAGGUGUCCAUACAUAUAUUGAGGAGGGGAAGAAGCACAACCAUCUCAACUAUUUGCAGUUGUAAACAUUUGUUGUUAAUCUUGUUCUUGUAGAGGUCCUAGGUUCAGCCUUCCCUACAUGACAAUUUGUGACUUCUAGAAGAAGAUGAUGCAUGAUUUGCGUAGUAUUUGCACAAAUGAGAUCAGAGACUGUGAACUGUCAUCAGAGGUUGAAGUGCAAAAGGCGUUGUUCUUCAGUUCUUUGAAGUGUGAGUUCUACUGAGGUAUUCAUAUCCCUUUGUUUAAUGUUGAACUGAAAAAGGACUCUUUUCCUAUCCAUUAAUGUUGUUGUUUCUCGGUAUGAAAAUUUUCAAGUUGUGUUUGGUGAUAUUGUGGGUUGACGAGGCCUUCAUUUGCUUUGGAGUGGUUGGCAGAGCUGGAUUUGUAUUUCAUUGGAUUUACUGCUCUAUGGUGAAUGCCGUGUCUUCUGAGUUGGUAGUUUGAUGAUAAUCCUUUUUAUCUCUUAUGAAUAUAUGCCAGGUAUUGCUGCUU